This 647-nucleotide ribosomal RNA is filed under the name uncultured bacterium. RNAcentral describes it as "bacterial SSU rRNA". It matches the Rfam family "Bacterial small subunit ribosomal RNA", at positions 8 to 671 of the family's 1533-position model. The record is from RNAcentral.
AGAGUUUGAUCAUGGCUCAGGACGAACGCUGGCGGCGUGCUUAACACAUGCAAGUCGAACGGUGAACCGCCUUCGGGUGGGGAUCAGUGGCGAACGGGUGAGUAACACGUGAGCAACCUGCCCUUAGCUCUGGGAUAACUCCGGGAAACCGGGGCUAAUACCGGAUAUGAGGUCGAGCGGCAUCGCUUGGCCUGGAAAGUUUUUCGGCUAGGGAUGGGCUCGCGGCCUAUCAGCUUGUUGGUGGGGUGAUGGCCUACCAAGGCGACGACGGGUAGCCGGCCUGAGAGGGCGACCGGCCACAUUGGGACUGAGACACGGCCCAGACUCCUACGGGAGGCAGCAGUGGGGAAUAUUGCGCAAUGGGCGAAAGCCUGACGCAGCGACGCCGCGUGAGGGACGAAGGCCUUCGGGUUGUAAACCUCUUUCAGCAGGGAAGAAGCGAAAGUGACGGUACCUGCAGAAGAAGCACCGGCUAACUACGUGCCAGCAGCCGCGGUAAUACGUAGGGUGCAAGCGUUGUCCGGAAUUAUUGGGCGUAAAGAGCUCGUAGGCGGUCUGUCGCGUCUGCUGUGAAAACCCGGGGCUCAACCCCGGGCUUGCAGUGGAUACGGGCAGACUAGAGUUCGGUAGGGGAGACUGGAAUUCCU